RNAcentral lists this long non-coding RNA (214 nucleotides) under Mytilus galloprovincialis (Mediterranean mussel). Lineage: Eukaryota; Metazoa; Mollusca; Bivalvia; Mytilida; Mytilidae. The record is from RNAcentral.
GCAAUUCCCCCGACAUAUUUUCCGUAUGCAAAGUGACCUCAGUGUGACCCAUCUCGUAAAAAUCCGGUGAUCGCAAUACGCAUGGCUGUCCUUAAAAUAAACUGAUUGUACAUGUUAAACACGUUCUCAAUAUCCAUACUUUUUUGUUGAUUGUUGACAAACAGGUGACAAUCGUUUAACUUUGGCUUCAAAACACGAACUUUCAUUACCUGCC